GGCUUCCAUGAUGGGCCAGUUUGGCGCUGUGACUCUCAGAGCUGUCCUGGAAGGACGAUUCGAGGGCUCCUGUCACCAGACCUUCCAGCAAUUUUGUAACUCAUUUUCUGAAUCUCAUUCUGCUUUAAAGAGGCCGGUGUCGCCUCGGACAACAAAACACUGACCUGAAAACAAAGACACGGGAAACGCCCUGCCUUGUGGGAAGCCGUGAGGGGAGCAGAUAACUAAUGAUGACACAGAGGUACCUGGGAAAGAACUCCUAUCAGCAACCUUAUUUGCCCUAAUGGGAUGUGGUGUCAGGGAGAUGCUGAAUGGCCCGUAAUUCUCCAGGCUGUGGAACAGGAAUGGCGGUCUCUCCCCCACGCCUUGAUGUACAGUUCC
Lutra lutra (Eurasian river otter) is the source of this 381-nucleotide long non-coding RNA. RefSeq lists it as uncharacterized. The record is from RefSeq and is a predicted model, not a curated record. The transcript is spliced from 3 exons. Lineage: Eukaryota; Metazoa; Chordata; Mammalia; Carnivora; Mustelidae.